UGUGCCCCAGUUCAUGGGGUCACAAAGAGUCUGACAAAACUGAAUGACUAACAUUUAUCUUAAUCUUAAAUUAAGAUUUAAAUGCUUUUCUCUGUGUGAAUGGUUAUCACAUCCAUUUUUAGACCCUAAUAUUUUGCCUACAUAGACCCAUAUACUAUACUGUAUGACAUUUUGUUGUGAAUAUUCCCAUCAUCUCAAAUUUACCUUGCCCAAAUCAGAAUAACUUAUCUUUUUUCUAAAGUCAGAGUGACUUACAGAUUUUCUGUUCUUCUAGAGGUGUUAACAUUUCUUGGUUUCUUUAUUGUCAUUGAUUCUAUCUUCAUUGUUGAUUAUAAACUAGGAAAUAAACCAAUCUUGAUUUUUUUCCCUCCUAACUCCCCUAUUUUUAGUGAUAAAUAUCUGUUGAUCUCUUAAAUAUGUCCCAUCUUUUUCAUUCUACAUUUUCUUUUUUAUUACCUACUCUAAUAUCCAUAUAUUUUGAAGCUUUGAAAUUUGAAGUCAAAAUUGGGAUAGAAAUCGUUUUCCCUGUGUUUAGAAGCUUUAGGGGGAAACUGCUAUUAAACACAGUGUGCACACACUUGUAUUCAUCUAUCACAUAUGUGAUAUAUACAGUUGACCUUGAACAAGGUGUGAAUUAGGGGCACUGAAAAUCCAUAGUUGGCCUCCUGUAUCCCCAAUUCCACCAAAUCCAGGAUUCUUCCACAGCCACAGAUUCAUCCAAUCUUGGAUCAUGUGUAGUACUGUAGUAUUUACUGUUGAAAAAAAAAAUCCGAAGAUGGUGGCGGCGGCCCGCUUGGGCUGGGGAGCUGCUGCCUCGGGGCUGCGGAGGCAAUUCUGUCAUGUGACGGAUCCAUAUACAAUUAAGAAACAGCUUCUGCAUCAGUUUGUCCAAAGACCGCUUUUCCCACUCCCUGCAACCUUAUGUAACACAGUGAGAUACGUUUAUUCAAACACAAGAUACCCCAAAUCCCAACAGUUUAAAGUUUAUUCCAGGAAAACCAGUUCUUGAGACAAGAACCAUGGAUUUUCCCACACCAGCUACGGCAUUUCCCUCCCCUCUGGCUAGGCAGUUAUUUAGGAUUGAGGGAGUAAAAAAUGUCUUUUUUGGACCAGAUUUCAUCACUGUCACAAAGGAGAAUGAAGAAUUAGACUGGAAUUUACUGAAACCAGAUAUCUAUGCUACUAUUAUGGAUUUCUUUGCAUCUGGCUUACCUUUAGUUACUGAGGAAACACCUUCAGGAGAAGCAGGACCUGAAGAUGAUGAUGAAGUUGUGGCAAUGAUUAAGGGAUUGUUAGAUACUAGAAUACGGCCAACUGUGCAGGAAGAUGGAGAUGUAAUCUAUAAAGGCUUUGAAGAUGGCAUCGUACAGCUGAAACUCCAAGGUUCUUAUACCAGCUGCCCCAGUUCAAUCAUUACUCUGAAAAAUGGAAUUCAGAACAUGCUGCAGUUUUAUAUUCCAGAAGUAGAAGGCGUAGAACAGGUUAUGGAUGAUGAAUCAGAUGAAAAAGAAGCAAACUCACCUUAAACUCAUUUGAGUUUUCUGUGGGCCCAUCAUAUGUACUAAGCUUUUAUUAUUAAUCUGCUAAGCAAUUUAGGAUUAAUGUCCCUUCUUCAAAGAAUGA
Odocoileus virginianus texanus is the source of this 1623-nucleotide non-coding RNA. Lineage: Eukaryota; Metazoa; Chordata; Mammalia; Artiodactyla; Cervidae. The record is from RefSeq and is a predicted model, not a curated record.